RNAcentral lists this ribosomal RNA (465 nucleotides) under uncultured bacterium. RNAcentral describes it as "partial 16S ribosomal RNA". It matches the Rfam family "Bacterial small subunit ribosomal RNA", at positions 28 to 507 of the family's 1533-position model. The record is from RNAcentral.
GACGAACGCUGGCGGCGAGCUUAACACAUGCAAGUCGAACGGAAAGGCCCUGCUUGCAGGGUACUCGAGUGGCGAACGGGUGAGUAACACGUGGGUGAUCUGCCCUGCACUUCGGGAUAAGCCUGGGAAACUGGGUCUAAUACCGGAUAGGAGCCAUUUUUAGUGUGAUGGUUGGAAAGUUUUUUCGGUGUAGGAUGAGCUCGCGGCCUAUCAGCUUGUUGGUGGGGUAAUGGCCUACCAAGGCGGCGACGGGUAGCCGGCCUGAGAGGGUGGACGGCCACAUUGGGACUGAGAUACGGCCCAGACUCCUACGGGAGGCAGCAGUGGGGAAUAUUGCACUAUGGGCGCAAGCCUGAUGCAGCGACGCCGCGUGGGGGAUGACGGCCUUCGGGUUGUAAACUCCUUUCGCUAGGGACGAAGCUUUUUGUGACGGUACCUAGAUAAGAAGCACCGGCUAACUACGUG